CAGUAGGACGCACAGUUUAUACCGUAGCUUGCUACACCAUAGACUGUGAGUUGCGAACGGGUGAGUAACGCGUAGGUAACCUGCCUAUUAGAGGGGGAUAACUAUUGGAAACGAUAGCUAAUACCGCAUAACAGUAUGUAACACAUGUUAGAUGCUUGAAAGAUGCAAUUGCAUCGCUAGUAGAUGGACCUGCGUUGUAUUAGCUAGUAGGUAGGGUAAUGGCCUACCUAGGCGACGAUACAUAGCCGACCUGAGAGGGUGAUCGGCCACACUGGGACUGAGACACGGCCCAGACUCCUACGGGAGGCAGCAGUAGGGAAUCUUCGGCAAUGGGGGGAACCCUGACCGAGCAACGCCGCGUGAGUGAAGAAGGUUUUCGGAUCGUAAAGCUCUGUUGUUAAGGAAGAACGAGUGUGAGAAUGGAAAGUUCAUACUGUGACGGUACUUAACCAGAAAGGGACGGCUAACUACGUGCCAGCAGCCGCGGUAAUACGUAGGUCCCGAGCGUUGUCCGGAUUUAUUGGGCGUAAAGCGAGCGCAGGCGGUUAGAAAAGUCUGAAGUGAAAGGCAGUGGCUCAACCAUUGUAGGCUUUGGAAACUGUUUAACUUGAGUGCAGAAGGNGAGAGUGGAAUUCCAUGUGUAGCGGUGAAAUGCGUAGAUAUAUGGAGGAACACCGGUGGCGAAAGCGGCUCUCUGGUCUGUAACUGACGCUG
Molecule: ribosomal RNA, 714 nt
Filed under: Streptococcus sp. HGFM110
Lineage: Bacteria; Bacillati; Bacillota; Bacilli; Lactobacillales; Streptococcaceae
Description: bacterial SSU rRNA
Rfam family: Bacterial small subunit ribosomal RNA
Source: RNAcentral